Microcebus murinus (gray mouse lemur) is the source of this 290-nucleotide non-coding RNA. NCBI's taxonomy places the organism in Eukaryota, Metazoa, Chordata, Mammalia, Primates, Cheirogaleidae. The record is from RefSeq and is a predicted model, not a curated record.
UCUCCUCACUCCCUUGUCCACAUCCGCCACGGGUAGGUCGUGGCCUCCAGUUCAGCGAGGAAUGCAGCGUCCUGGGGAGGAAUGUCCUGACGGGGAACUGAAGCAGAAGAGACACCAAGGCAAACACCAAAUCCUCAAAAGAGCUCAGUCUUUACUUCUAUUUCACUCCUUUCUGUAUGCUGCCCAAUGGUGAAAUGGGGAGGUAAUACAAGCCAACCUAUUGAGUUGUUGCAAAGAAUGAGAAAAUGUUUCUACAGGGUGUCUCUCUGUCACCCACACUGGAGUGCAGU